GACGAACGCUGGCGGCGUGCUUAACACAUGCAAGUCGAACGGUAAGGCCCUUCGGGGUACACGAGUGGCGAACGGGUGAGUAACACGUGGGUGAUCUGCCCUGCACUUCGGGAUAAGCCUGGGAAACUGGGUCUAAUACCGGAUAGGACCACUGCCUGCAUGGGUGGUGGUGGAAAGCUUUUGCGGUGUGGGAUGGGCCCGCGGCCUAUCAGCUGGUUGGUGGGGUGAUGGCCUACCAAGGCGCCGACGGGUAGCCGGCCUGAGAGGGUGACCGGCCACACGGGGACUGAGAUACGGCGCAGACUCCUACGGGAGGCAGCAGUGGGGAAUAUUGCACAAUGGGCGCAAGCCUGAUGCAGCGACGCCGCGUGAGGGAUGACGGCCUUCGGGUUGUAAACCUCUUUCAGCACCGACGAAGCGCAAGUGACGGUAGGUGCAGAAGAAGGACCGGCCAACUACGUGCCAGCCGCCGCAGUAA
This 478-nucleotide ribosomal RNA is filed under the name uncultured bacterium. RNAcentral describes it as "partial 16S ribosomal RNA". It matches the Rfam family "Bacterial small subunit ribosomal RNA", at positions 28 to 523 of the family's 1533-position model. The record is from RNAcentral.